RNAcentral lists this unclassified non-coding RNA (250 nucleotides) under plant metagenome. RNAcentral's name for it is "partial contains small subunit ribosomal RNA, internal transcribed spacer 1, and 5.8S ribosomal RNA". The record is from RNAcentral.
GUAGGUGAACCUGCGGAAGGAUCAUUAUUGAAUAAACCUGAUGUGGUUGUUGCUGGUUCUCUUGGGAGCAUGUGCACGCCCGUCAUCUUUAUAUUUCCACCUGUGCACCUUUUGUAGACCCAGAAGACUUUUUAAAGUCGUUUGGGCCUAUGUUUAUCAUAUACCCCAUAGUAUGUAUUAGAAUGUAUCAGUGGGCUUCGUGCCUAUAAACACUAUACAACUUUCAGCAACGGAUCUCUUGGCUCUCGCA